CCUACGGGAGGCAGCAGUGGGGAAUUUUGGACAAUGGGCGCAAGCCUGAUCCAGCAAUGCCGCGUGCAGGAUGAAGGCCUUCGGGUUGUAAACUGCUUUUGUACGGAACGAAACGGUCUGCUUUAAUACAGUGGGCUAAUGACGGUACCGUAAGAAUAAGCACCGGCUAACUACGUGCCAGCAGCCGCGGUAAUACGUAGGGUGCGAGCGUUAAUCGGAAUUACUGGGCGUAAAGCGUGCGCAGGCGGUUAUAUAAGACAGAUGUGAAAUCCCCGGGCUCAACCUGGGACCUGCAUUUGUGACUGUAUAGCUAGAGUACGGUAGAGGGGGAUGGAAUUCCGCGUGUAGCAGUGAAAUGCGUAGAUAUGCGGAGGAACACCGAUGGCGAAGGCAAUCCCCUGGACCUGUACUGACGCUCAUGCACGAAAGCGUAGGGGAGCAAACAGGAUUAGAUACCCUGGUAGUCCACGCCCUAAACGAUAGUCAACUGGUUGUUGGGUCUUCACUGACUCAGUAGCGAAGCUAACGCGUGAAGUUGACCGCCUGGGGAGUACGGCCGCAAGGUUGAAACGUCAAAGGAAUUGACGG
This 588-nucleotide ribosomal RNA is filed under the name uncultured bacterium. RNAcentral describes it as "bacterial SSU rRNA". It matches the Rfam family "Bacterial small subunit ribosomal RNA", at positions 338 to 916 of the family's 1533-position model. The record is from RNAcentral.